UUGCCUUGAUACGAGCUGAAUAUGUUGAACCGACAAGGAAGGUCUAAUAUUAGGCUCAGAGUGAAACUAUGGAAGACAUAAUUAAGCGUACAAAAAAUAAAACAUUCCUAAAAUUUGGAAGCAAAUAAUAGAGUUUCUUUAAAAACUAAAUGUAAAAGGGAAAACUAAGAUCUAUUCUAAGGAUACCUAGUAGCUUCCCUACCUUGCCACCUAUCACUCUUCUCCAUGCC
Molecule: long non-coding RNA, 230 nt
Filed under: Elaeis guineensis (African oil palm)
Lineage: Eukaryota; Viridiplantae; Streptophyta; Magnoliopsida; Arecales; Arecaceae
Description: long non-coding RNA (EGUI_LNC031562)
Source: RNAcentral